Molecule: long non-coding RNA, 41141 nt
Filed under: Vitis vinifera (wine grape)
Lineage: Eukaryota; Viridiplantae; Streptophyta; Magnoliopsida; Vitales; Vitaceae
Description: long non-coding RNA (VVIN_LNC004836)
Source: RNAcentral
GGUGGGCACUUGCUUAAGGAUUGCCAUUGAUUUCGCAAGUUGGUUGGAUGAGGAGAUCUGAGCAAGGAGCCAGAAUUCACCAUAGUUCACAGCAAAAGCUGAUAGGGUUAGCACCAGCUUUGCUUCCCAUGAAUAGCUUGUUAACAGGUUAAAUAUAGAGAGUGUCGUUGCAUGAGCAUCACCUCCGCCCAAACUCUUGUAUGCUAUCUGAAUACAUAAUCGAUUGAUCACAUGUCAUUGUAAAGAAACAAAUAAAACGUAAUCAUGCCAUGUGUAUAAUGCAUAAGGGAUGAGUUUUCUGCAUGUCAUUCUAAGAAAUGAAUUUUUGCAGUAGUUCUUUGUAAUAACCUCGCAGGAAAUUCGAUCAAUGGUAAACGACAGUGCUUCGAGCAAAGCAAAGAAACUGGCUUGAUUUGUCCUAUCAUCAGAAGUUUCAAUGCGUGUUUGGGCAGCCUGCAAUGAAAUCACGAGUCGAUUAUCUACUAUAAAUGCAUAGAAAAUUUGUAUCUGCAUACCCUUUCGUUCAAGUAUCCUUCAUUAAUUAGGAUUGUCAAUUGCAUAUGCUCUUAACUAACACAACAAACUAAAACGUGGAAGUUUUAAUGUUCUUGAAUUAAAUGAUUUCACCCCAUGGAAGCAGCUCGAGCAUUUGGAAAAAGAAGAAGAGUGUUAUUGUGAAGGAGUUGAAAUUUUGAAAUAGAAGUUAUCCUCAAAACAUAUAGUAGGAAAAAGGUGGACUUCGGCAGUAAAAAGUUUGUUAUUCUGAAAAUAUUUUAGAUGUAGAUAAAUGACUAUAUGGCGUAAAAAUUUCUUGUGUUGAUUUUGUAGAUAACAUAGGAGUUGGCUAGUUAGUAUGACAUUGUGCUGGCUAGGAAUCCUUGAUUGGUAUGUGCAUUUACUUUUGUUUUGGCUAUUGAAAAAAAUGAACAAGGUCAAGUAAUUAAAAGCAGCCUGAACAAAAGAAACUGGCAGAAACAUUAGGCCCUUACUACAUAAGAGGUUAUAGGAGUGUUAUACCGAAAUUAAGGGAUCAACACCCGGUGUAGCCCGAUUCAGGAUGUCUUCCACGAGUUGGAAAAGAGGCUUAACAUCAAACUCUCGGCCAUCAGGAGCAUGGGUUGCGUGAAUUUGUUUCACCAUCAUGUUGUCAUCAGACAUGGUUAUCAUGCUCCUAUCAUGCUUGAUCAGUUUUUGUAAGGGAACUGGGUUGAUUUUGGUGGUUUCUGCGGGCUUCAACACUUGCUGCAGCGGAGCUGGGUUGAUCNNNNNNNNNNNNNNNNNNNNNNNNNNNNNNNNNNNNNNNNNNNNNNNNNNNNNNNNNNNNNNNNNNNNNNNNNNNNNNNNNNNNNNNNNNNNNNNNNNNNNNNNNNNNNNNNNNNNNNNNNNNNNNNNNNNNNNNNNNNNNNNNNNNNNNNNNNNNNNNNNNNNNUGAGAAGUAGCAGUUCACGUUGCCUUUAUGUGCCUUGGUUUUACUUUGCUCUGUGUUUUUUCUUGUUUCUUUCUCUACAGAUUUGCAGGCCUUCAUUUAUGCGGAGAACCAGUAGCUUGUUCAAGGGUAGCAUCAACAGCAGACCAUCCAACACUUACACAUACUCAUAACUCCAAAAUGCAAAUGGUCGAUGAGCUACCAUAGGAAAUCUUCACUGACACUUCCUAACCAACACUCACCAUCCUCACCCUUAAUCAGUGAGCCUCCACAAACAACUAGAAGCUUAAAAGCUAUUGAGAUUUUUGGACCCCACACAAAAGCUGUUGUUUGUUUUAUAAUGUUCUAAUGAGAAGUCUGGAAUUCAAUUUUUUCCCCUUCAAAUUUUCUUUUGAAAAUUUCUCUAACCUAAACCUCUGUUACUUUGUGUGUGUUCUAUUUAGAUCUUGUCUUUGGAUUCUUUUGUAUAAAUUUAUAAUGUUUUAGACUCAGAAAUGUAGGGAAAUGAACUAUUUUUGUUUUUGCUCUGUUAUUGCUUCCCUUUUGCUUAUGCCAUUUAAGUUUAUAUUUUCAUGAUUUUGAUCUCAGAAAGCGGUGUUUAAGAUUCAUAGAUGACGGUUGACUGCAUAAAAGUUGUUGGCUAUUUAUUGGACUUAAGUAGUGGAGAUUUAUUUUGAUUACUUUUAUUUUCCAAUGAUUUCUCACUAUCCAAGCAAAGUUUAAUAUUAAGAAAUUUGAUUGCUUCAUACCAUGUUGUUUAGUAUUUAAAGUUUUAUGGUUUAGACUGUUAUUAUUGUUUUAUAUUAGAUGUAUUUAAAGAAACUGGUUGCAUCUGAACCUAGUUAUGGUAAGGUGUAUUCCAAUUAGAAAAUUAGAAAAGUACGUAUGAGAGUAGAUCAUGAAGACCGGUACUAAUUCCUUUGUUUAUUUCAUUAAUGGUUAUGGAAUGACAUAAAUUUUGUGAUAUUGUUUGGUAUUAUUGUAUAUAUAAGAGGGUGAUUGGGACUGCCAAGCGAUCAACUAAGGGAGUCUGGACAGAGCAAAAGGUUAGAAAUUAAAGGUUCUUAUAGGGUUUAUGGCUUUCUGUUGUGUAGUUUUGGGUGUUGGGCUAGUUAUUUGAACAACUUUGAAAUGGGGUUGUGAUGAAUGGUUCUUUGCAUUUACUUGUUAUUUGAACUACUGUGAAAUGAAGAUUAGAUGAAUGACUUCAUAUGCGUUCUUUUUCCCCAUUAACAGGAUCAAGUAUUAGUCUAUGUUGUCAAAAAGUACAAUGGAAAUAACUGGAAAAAAAUUUGGUGCAUAUAACAUUAUUGCUUUCCACUCAUUAGGGUUCCUCAGUAGCAGAAUCUAUCUGAUUAGCUUUGUCAUUCAUAAAUAUGCCAGUAGCCGGGGCAUAAAUUAGUGUUAAUUAAGUUUUUCAGAAAAAAUUAUUUUUACAAUAUUUUUUAGGCUGGCCAAUUUCGCUCAGUCUGUUUCUUUCAACUGUCAAUUUGCGACAAACUUGUCACCUUGUGCAACCAAAUAUGUCACUGGCACAAUAGAGAAAUCUUCUCUUGUUUGUGUCUAAGCUUUUUUAAUAGCCUUUUAAUCCAGAUAGCUUCCUUACAAGCCUGUGUAGCUGCCAUGUACUUUGCUUCUGUUAUAGAUAGAGCCACAAUAGUUUGGAGUUUUGAAACCUAGCUCACAACUCCUCUUGUAAGUGUAAACAAAUAGCUCGUAGUAGAUUUAUUCUUAUCAAGAUAACCUGCAAAGUCUGAAUCAACAUAACUAAUACUUUGAUGUAUCUAAGGAUCCUCUUAACUAUAUUUCAAUGCUCUCUCCCCAAAUUUGCCAUGAAUCGACUUAUCACUCCCACUACUUGUGCAAUGUUUGGUUUUGUACAAAUCAUAGAAAACAUUUCCCAUUGCUGAUGCAUAUGGUGUUUGAGAUAGUUUCAUCCACUCCACUUUAUUACUAGGACUCAUACUUGAGGAUAAUUUGUAAUUUACAAGAAGUAAGGUAGAAACUGGUUUACAAUCAUGCAUGUUAAAACGAUGUAAGAAAAAUUUCAAGUAGCUUUUUUGUGAGAGUCAAAUCUUCUUGUUUUGUCUAUCUCGGCAAAUUUGCAUCCCUAGAAUUUUGUUUGUUGGUCCUAGAUCCUUCAUCUUAAAUAUCUUAGCCAAUUGUGCCUUUAAUUCUUGGACUCAAUCUUUGUUGGGGUUUUCAACCAACAUGUAAUCACGUAUAACAACAAAAUAAUAAAAUCAUCACCCUCAAACCUCUUGUAAUAUAUACAAUGAUAUGAAUUGAGUCUAUUGUACCCAAGGCUCAAUAUGAAGGAAUCAAAUCUCUUGUACCCACAUCUUGACACUUAUUUUAUACCAUACAAAGAUUUAGUUAAUCUGCAAACCAAGUUCUCUUUCUCAUUUUCUUCAAAGCCUUUCGGGCAUAUAAAUUUCUUCUUGAAACUCUCCAUGAAGAAACACAAUUUUCACAUCUAACUACUCAAAGUGUAAAUCCAAUCCAGCACACAUAGCUAAGACUACUCAAAUUGAUGUAAAUUGAACAAUCGGAGAAAAUCACUCAUUGAAAUCAAUACCUUCUUUCUAAGCAUAUUCUUUAACCACCAAUCUUGCACUAUACUUCUCCACUUGGUCAUUGCUAUCAUGUUUGAUCUUAUAGACCUACUUAUUUCCAAUAAUUUUUCUUCCAAGUGGUGGGGGCACAAAUUUCCAUGUCUGGUUCUUAUGCAAGGAUUUAACCUUCUAUUGCUUUGUUGUCAUCCAUAAAAAUGAAUAUGGACUGUUUAUGACCUCUUGAUAAUUUGAAGGCUCUUUAUCUUCUAAAGGAGACAAUAUGCAACAUUAAUUACUAUACCAAACUUUAAGUGCCAAGAAGGUUCUCUUCUUUCUUGGAUUGAUUACUGCACUUUAGGUGUCUAAACCUCAACUAGUAUUUGUUCAUUAUGCUUUGGAACUACUUCAAAAGGUUCUGGCUAUUCCUGUUCUGACUAUUUGUUUCCAAUGAAACUUAUAGUAUAUGUCUUCUUCAUUAGUGUGUUAUCUCAUUCUUCACUUUGUAACAUGUUUUCUAUAAAAAUGACAUCUCUACUGAUGAUAACAUUACAGGCAAUAGGAUCCCACAAACAAUAUCCCUUUACUUCAUUAGAAUACCCCAAGAAUAUGCAUUUUCUGGAUUUUGGAGCUAGCUUUGUUCUAUCUUGGUCAUUAUACAUCACAUAAGCAAAACACCUAAAUAUGUGUAAGAAGAAACUGUUUGUUGGCUUAUUAGUCCACAUCUCCAUAGGUGUCCUCAUCUCAAUUAUUGUUGAUGGAGAUUUAUUAAUUAUAUAGUAAGAAGUUUUGGCUACUUCAACCCAAAAUGUUUUGGGUAGUCCUACAAUCUUUAACAUAGCUCUCAUUAUUUCUACUAGAGUUCUAUUUGUUUGGUCUACUAUGUCAUUUUGUUGUGGAGUGUAAGCAAUAGUUUUCUAUCAUUGUAUGCCUUCUUAACUACAAAAUACAUCAAACUCCUGGUUACAAAAUUUUCCUUCAUCGUCUAUCCUCAAAUAUUUAAUAUUUUUUCUCCUUUCAAGCUCCCUCUACGCUUUAAAGGCUUUGAUUAGUGGAAAGACAUCUAACUUUUUGUUGAUGGGGUAAACCCAACAUCUUAUGGAGUAGUCAUUUACAAACAACACCAAAUGGUUUGUGCCCCUAGGAAAUAUGACCGGUGACUCCCAAACAUUAGAAUGAAUCAAGUCUAAAAUGCCCUUACUUCUUAUAAUAGAUCUACUAAAUCAUAAUGUGUUGCUUAUUGAUAACACAGUACUCACAAAAGGUUAUAGUUUUGAGUCCAAAAAGCAAUUUUUUAUCAAAGAGAAUUUUCAAUUCUUUUUCUGACAUGUGACCAAGUUUGUGAUGUCACCUUAUUGUCAAUUCUUCUCUAGAGUUUGCAACAGAAGUCUCCAUCUCUUUAUAUGUUCUCUCAUGCAACAUGUACAAAUUUACAGCAAUCUUAUCUACUUUCAUCAUCACAAGAGCACCUUUGAUAACCUUCAUGAUUCCCCUUUUAGCAUGGAAUUCAUAUCCAAGGUCAUCCAAUUGUCUCAUUGAUAGCAGAUUCUUCUUUAAGCCCUUCACAUGUCGUACUUCUAGAAUAAUGUGAAUCAUACCAUCAUCCAUCUUUACUUUGGUAAAGUUAAUGUCAACAAUAUCUAAGGCAUGAUUAUUACCCAUUUACACUAAUCCUCCUAAGAUAGCUAGGUUCAUAUUGGUGAAACCAUUCUCUAUAAGAAGUCAUGUGUAAUGUUGUUGUUGAGUUCAUUAACCAAACUCUAACAAAUCUUUGUCUUCUGCAAUUGUUGUUGCAUCACUGUACAAGAUUUUGUUUUCAACCAAAGUACUUAUUUCACAACUCUGAGUAUUUGAUGAUGCAAUUUUUUUCCUUUUCACGUUUUUCUCUACCCUUCCUUUGUAGUGUCAAUACUCUUUGAGAAAUUAAAGGUUAUGCUUAAAUAAGAAAAACACCCAAGAGGGGGGUGAAUUGGGUUUUUCAAAAACUUUUUCAACACAACAAAUUCAAGCACAAUAUAAUAAAAAAUAAAGAGAUAGAGUUAGAGAAUUCAAACUCAGAUUUUAUAGUGGUUCGGUACUUCCUUGCCUACAUCCACUAUGCUCAAUCUCCUAACCAAGUGAGGAUUCCACUAACUUGAAGCUUCAACCAAGCUUCCAAUCUUCUUACACUUAGAUUCCGGCUCCAAUUGGCUCUUGCACAAUCUCUUCAAGAUUCAAACCUCUUGAAGGCUUUAACACUCAGUUUUUACAAGAAUGAAUCCCUCAACCUAUCUCAAUGAUAUCUCAAAUACAAAACAAAGUUAGGAUGACUCACAAGGGUGCACUAAAAGAUAUGCAAGUGAGGAUUUAAUGCACUAAAAAGGAAAUGAGAGAUUUUAAGGCAAGAACAAGUAGGUAGACAAUUGAUUGCAAGUGUUCUCUCUGUCAUAAAUGAAGUGGAGCUAUCAAUUUAUAGGUUUCUAAGCUCGGGAGCCAAGAACAGCAAAAAGCAGCCUCAACCGGUCGAGCUGGGGGUCGACUGGUUCACUAGUCGUUGGAGCAUUUAAUGCUUUGGCAGGUUACCGUUGCUGUGGCAAGUUACCGUUGCCUCGACUAGACCUCGAUCGGGAAGAAGGGAACCUCAAUCGAGAAGGGAAGGCUACUGGAAGAGAGAGAGUGUUUUUUAUACUCCUCGACCAGACCUCGACCGGACAAGGGCAACCGGUCGAUCGGUUCCCUAACCGGUUGAGCCGGUUGGCCAGAGCCUCGAUAGGGAAAGAAGGAACCUCAACCGAAAAGAGAAGGCUACUAGAAGAGAGAGUGUGUUUUUGACACUCUUCGAUUGGACCUCGAUCGGGCAAAGGCAACCGGUCGAUCGGUUCCCCAAUCAGUUGAGCCGGUUAGCCAGAGCCUCGACCGAUUCAACCUUUUGGCCCUGAAAACCUAUCUUUUUCACUUCUUUUCUUAUAUAACACUUAGGCAAGGUCUUUAGGUAAAUUAAUAUGCCAAUUUUGAAACAUUUUGCCUAAGGUACAUUUGAUAAAACUUGGGUUUUAAUGAAAUUGCAACUUUAAAUAACAAAUCGAGUUUUCCAAAGAUGCAUAAAAAGAUAUGUAAACCCUAAGUGUACCCAUGCAUUCAUCUUACAUUUUUUUCCUAUGAUUAAAAGUCUUCUGAAAGUCUUGAUCUUGUAUUCAUUUGGUCAUUUGAUGAAUUUUUGAAUUUAUACCCGAGAUUCUUUACCAUUCAAACCAAUUAGUCACUCAACCAUGGUUUGCUAUCAUUAAAACCUGAUUAGGAGAACCCUUGGGCUAAUAAUCUCCCCCUUUUUUAUGAUGACAAACCUUGGUUAUCUAGGAAAAGGAAAAAAAUCUCCCCCUCAAACUAAUUAUGGAUCAAUCAAUAAAAAUUUAUGAAUGUAAAACCAAGAUAAUCAAGACAUGCAAAUUUUCUAGGAAACAAUGUAAAUCAUGAAAAUAGCAUAUCAUAUAUAUAUAGUAAAGUCAAAUGUACAUGAAACAUAAACAUAUAAGCUAAUCCAAACAUAUAUGACAAUGAUAUGCAUGUAGGUCUCCUAGAUCCUAGAUAUCUCUCCCCCUUUGGCAACAUAAAAAAGAAACGAAGGGGGUCUCAAUGAAAUCAAGGCUGAGAAGGUGGAGGUGGAAACAUGAAGCGGAGGUAAGCCAUCAUGUCCUCAUGCUGACUCUCCUGGUGACUCUCAAUGAACUCAAUCCUCUGCUGGAGAUGAUCAAAUGCAACCUGCAACUGAUCUAUGCGAUCUUCCAUACACUUAAAUCUCUGAUGCAGAUACUCAAACUGAGAAGUGAAGCUAGUCUGAUAUUGAUCCUUGCGAUCAUCCAUGGAGUAGAAUCGAUUAUCACUGACUACUGCAAGCUCUUCUAUGCUAGUGCCAAGUGAGCUGAUAUGAGUAGAUAAAUCCAUCCAAGGCGCAUGAUCAGGAGCAUGAAGUGUCUGAUGAGGUGAUGUCUCGGUGUGAGGAGGCUCGAUGAAGGAUGGCUGAGAAGAUGGUCCCACUGUGUAAGCCGACUCAGACAUCAUUAGCUCAGGGAAUGUGGCCUCAAACUGAACACCCUCAGACUGGAGUGGAGGGAUGUCAAGCUCGGGUUCUUUCUGCUCAAAGCCUCUUUGAGGAUUUAACCCACCAUCUAUCUCUCAGAUCUCGGUCUCCUCCUCUACUCUGGGAUGGACCUGCCCUUAUCCCUGGGCUUGUGUUGGUGGUCGCUCCACUCUCCUAACCCAGGAGCCAUCGAGGGCCUUCUCAAACUUCAUCCGCCCCAAAGACUACUCAUCAUAUGUAUCAUAAAUACUAGGGGCCUUGAAAUUUGUCUCUUUACUCAAAUCAACCCCAGCAUCCUUGAAUACUCGAGUGAGGAAGCGCUCAUAGGGGAGUACGCGGGUCGUGCUCUCGCAGCAUGAUAUCAUGUGCAUCAUCAUCAGAUAUCCCACGUGAAUCUGUCUCCCUGUUAGAAUGGAGUCUACGAGGAAUGCCUCAAUGUAGGAGACCUCAUCUCGAUGCCCGCCUUGUGGCAAUAAGAUGGAGCAUAUCAUGUGAUGAAGAACUCGAUUGAUCAGCAUAGUGAGCCAAGUCUUGGACUCAUAUACCCUGAGUCCAGAUGAAGGAAUUUCUAAAAUAUGGCAGAUGCUCUCUAGGUCCAACUGGAUCUCAACACCUCUAACGGUGGAAAUAAUCGGUCCACCAAGUCCAUAUGUCACUCUCAAAUAGAAUGUUCUCACUAAUGUUGAAAAAAUCGGCUCCGAAAUAGUCACUAUAGGCAGCCACCCCAUCCGUCCGAAAAGACAAAUUAAAAUCACUAAGUGUUUGUUUCAUCCAAAGAAUUUGUAACAACAUAAACCGACUGCUAUGUAUUUGGUUUCUGCCGUUGACAAAGGUAUCGAAUUUUGCUUCAUACUAUGCCAUGAAACAAGUGAGUGUCCUAGGAAAUGACAAGUGUCACUAGUGUUUUUUCUUUCAGCCUUAAAACCAGUAAAAUCGGCAUCCGAGAAUCCAAUCAAUUCAAAGUUAUCACUCUUAGGAUACCAUAAGUCUAUGUCCAUUAUCCCUUUCAAGUAUAUAAGAAUUCGUUUUACGUCACUUAAGUGGGAUUUUUUAGGACAAGAUUGAAAUCUAGCACACAAGCAUACACUAUACAUGAUGUCGGGUCUACUAGCGGUUAAAUAUAGCAAAGAACCUAUCAUGCCUCUAUACAUAGUUGAGUCAAUGGAUUUACCUUUCUCAUCCUUAUCAAGCUUGAUGGAUGAGCUCAUUGGAGUCUUCAUUGUUUUGGCUUCUUCCAUGUUGAACCUUUUGAGAAGAUUUCUUAUAUAUUUUGCUUGAUUGAUGAAGGUUUCUUCAUUUAGUUGCUUGAUUUGAAGUCCAAGUAAGAAGUUAAGUGAUCGCUCGGAUUGUUGUCAUUUAUUGGAUCAAAACAAAAUUUAUAACCUAAUUCACUAUUCUAUAGCAUAUUGUACCCGAUCAAAAAGUGGUUUUAGUACAAACUACUAUAGUAUAGUGGUUUUUAGGUAUCGUCCACAAGGAUGAAUUAUUCUUGGUAAUCAAGGCUUGAAUGAGAUGAGAAGAAAUGAUUGAGAUCAAGUGAAAAUGAUUUGACAAUUCAUGAUAAAAAUUCAAAAUGACAAUGAUUCCAAUUUGAGAGGAAAAUGAAAUGAAAAAUAGAAGAAAAUUAAUAGAAAAUGAAAUUCUCGGAGUUAGGAUUUUCUAGAAAACAAUUUCCAUGGUGAAUAGAUAUUGAGAUCUAAUUUUCAUCAAGUUAUAUUGAAAACCUAAAUUUCAUCUAAACCGAUUUUUGAUUUAGCUUUAGGUAUAGAUCUAAUUUCUCUUCAAAUUAGGUCAUUUAAUCCAAGAGAUCAAUUCAAAUCAUAUAUUCAAUUCAUCUUAAAUUAUCUUCCAAUGAUUCACACAAUAUAACUAUUCAAUCUCAUCAAAUUUAGUAUUAAGAAUUUGAUGAAUCUACCUAGUUUGCAUUGUAGUAAUCAUUCAAGACAAUUUGAAGAGAAAAAUCCCCAAAUUUCAAUUAAUCAAUCAAUUGGAUCAAAUUACCUUUGCAAUUCAAGCUCAUUUCUCUAAUUCACCAUAGAUCUUGCCUCUAGAUCCUUUCUCCUCCGAGAAAAAUGAGAUUUAGUCACUCAUGCUUGGAGAUUUGGUCUCACAAGGCAUGUUUGGCUAAUGAGAAAAUGAGAGAAAAUGAUAUCAAAUGAGAGAAAAUGAAGGAAAGUAGAAAAUUCCUUAAAGAGGAAAUCUGGAAAAUUCUACAAUUAGAAAAUGUAUAAAAGUCCCUAAAAUGAGUAAAUCAAGUUUCUAUUUUAGGCCAAAGUCAAGUGGACACUUGGCAUCAUCUAAGAGGUUUUUCAGAGUCUUAUUCACCAAGAAAUCUAGAAAAAGUGCAAUUUCACACGAGCUCCAAUAAUUUCGCACGAUUGUGCGAAGUGGAAAAUUCAUUAGCACCAUUUUCGCCUUCUUGGAACAUUUCGCAUGACUGUGCAAAAUUUUCGCAUGGUCAUGUGAAAUCAGUUUCCAUUUUUCCCUUUUGAGCUGCAGCCAAAAUCCUUUUUGUUUCAUUUCGCACGACUGUGCAAAUUUUCCUCAUGUUCAUGCGAAAUGGAAAAACAUAGUUUUUCAACUCCUUUUUGUCAUUUCUUCCAUUUCUUUCUUUUGAUUCCACUUCAACUACCUCCAAAUCAACUCCAAAUCCCAAUCCAAACCGAUUGUAUUGCUUUUUUCAUUAUGCAUUUGGAUCAUCGUCAACUUUAUUUGUUCUCUUCAAUUUGAUUCAUCUCUUUUGUCACCAAAUUAUCAAAAUCAUACCUUGAAAUGACUUCAAAACUUCAUAAAACUUCUUAGUAACUCUUGCAAGGGCAACAACAUGUUAAUUGAGUGUUUUAGACAUAAUUACUACUCAAAAGAUGUGAAACUCAUGAGAAUUAUUAUCUAUAAUAUGCUCUUUUUGAGUAGUAAUCAUUGAGUUCUCCCAUCAUGCUCAUUUCAAACUCACUAUGCAUGUACUUAGAAAAUUCUUCACAAAGAGAGACAUUAGUAGCUCCAAAAAUAAUAUCAUCAACAUAUAUUUGAACUAAGAGCAUGUCCUUUUCUUUGGUCUUUAUGAAAAGAUUUGUGUCAAUUUUUCCCAUUUUAAAACCCUUUUUCAGAAGAAAUUUGUUCAAUCUUUCAUAUCAUGCUCUUGGUGCUUGUUUCAAACCAUAAAGUGUCUUUUUAAGUUUAAAAACAUGAUUAGGAAAGUUAAAACUUUGAAAACCGGGUGGUUGUUCAACAUAUACUUCUUCAUUUAUAAAGCCAUUUAAGAAAGCACUUUUCACAUCCAUUUGAUAUAAAAUAAAGUCUUUAAAACAUGCAAAGACAAGUAGCAUCCUAAUGGCUUCAAAUCUAGCUACGGGGGCAAAGGUUUCUUCAUAAUCUAUCUCUUUUUCUUAAUUAAAACCCCGGGCUACCAAUCUUGCUUUAUUUCUAACAAUUAUGCCAUUUUCAUCCAUUUUAUUUCUAAAGACCCAUCUAGUUCCAAUAACACUUUGAUUUGAAGGUAUUGGCACUAAUUCUCAUACUUCACUUCUUUCAAAUUGAUUUAACUCUUCUUGCAUAGCAAUCAUCCAAUUUUCAUCAACUAAAGCAUCAUGUAUAUUUUUAGGUUCAAUUUGAGAGAUAAAAGCAAGAUUAUAGCAAAUAUUUCUAAGAGAUGAUCUAGUUCUUACCCCACUAGAUGAAUUACCUAUAAUUUGAUCUUGUGGGUGGUUGAUGACAAACUUCUAAUCUUUAGGAAGGUCUUGGCUUGAUUCACCUUGCACUUGUUGAGCAAGGGGUAGUGUCAAUGGUGAUUCUUCUUUCUUGGGAUCCUCUCCAAUUUCUUCUUGUUGCCUUCUAUCUUCAAUUUGGAAUUUUCCCAUGGAGGUCUCAAGCCUAAAUCAUCAUUAAAACUCUCUAUUUCUUGGAGAGAAUUGUUAGAUUCAUAAAAAAUAACAUGGAUGGACUCUUCUACAACCAUGGUUCUUUUGUUGAAAACUCUAAAGGCUUUACUUGAAGUUGAGUAACCAAGGAAAAUUCUAACAUCCAAUUUUGCAUCAAAUUUUCCAAGAUUUUCUUUGGUGUUUAAUAUAAAACAUUUGCACCCAAAGACUUUGAAAUAGCUAAUGUUGGAUUUCUUAUUUUUCCAAAGCUCAUAGGGAGUUUUCUUAAGAAUGGGCCUCAAUAAUAUUCUAUUUAAAACAUAACACGAAGUGUUGUUAACCACUUCGACCUAAAAAUAUUUUGGAAAAUUAUUUUCAUUUAGCAUGGUUCUAGUCAUUUCUUGAAGAUUUCUAUUUUUCCUUUCAUCUAUCCCAUUUUGUUGAGGAGUUUUAGGAGCCGAAAAAUUGUGGUUAAUACCAUGCUCAUUGUAAUAUUAUUCAAAAUAAAUAUUUUCAAAUUCUCUCCCAUGAUCACUUCUUAUAAAAGUAAUUGUUAAACCUUUUUCAUUUUGAAUCUUAUUGUAAAACUUUGAAAACUCAUAAAAGGCUUCAUUCUUUUGACUUAAAAACAAGACCCAUGUGUAUCUAAAGAAGUCAUCCACAAUAACAUAUGCAUAAGAUUUUCCUCCAACACUUGGUGUCCUAGAGAGACCAAAUAAAUCCAUAUGCAACAACUCAAGAGGCUUAGAGGUUGAAAUAAAAGUUUAUUUUUUAAAGAGUUUUUUAUUUGCUUUCCCAUUUGACAAGCUUCACAAACUUUGUCUUUUUGAAAAUUUAUUUUGGGAAAGUCUCUAACAAGUUCAUCUUUGUUGAGUUGGGAAAUGAGGUCCAUGUUAGCAUGUCCCAACCUCCUAUGCCACAACCAACUUUGAUCAUGCAUGCUUGAAAAGCAUCUAUCAUGGUCAUCAUAUUUUGAAAUAUUUAUAAUGUAAACAUUAUCACACCUAUGGCCCAUGAAGAUGGUUUUAUCAUUUUGAAUAUCCUUGAUGAUGCAAUGAUAUGCUUCAAAAAUAACUUUAAAACCUUUGUCACAAAGUUGACUAAUGCUUAAAAGGUUAUGUUUUAAACCAUCCACUAAUAAAACACUUUCAAUAAGAGAGGAUGUGCCAUUACCAAUGUUGCCUUGACCAAUGAUUCUUUCUUUUGCAUUGUCUCCAAAGGUAACAUAUCCUCCCUUUCUCUUUGUAAGAAAAGCAAACUUGGAUUCAUCUCGCAUCCACUAUCCAAGAACCACUUAUCCUUCUUUGAACCCUACUGUAGACCCUCUAUUUUGUCUUCCUCGCACAUGUCGUUUAUAGCAAUUCCCUGGUGGCCCAUUAAUACUCAUGUUAGCCUAUCUUUUCUAAGCCACCUCGGAGACUUUGGUUGAGGGAUUAUCUGACCUCUUAUUAUUACCCUUGGCAGCCCUAACUUAGACUUAGGCUUUUCUUGCUUUUUUUUUAGGAUAGCUUUUAGGCACCCUAGGCCCACUUAGGCACCCUAGGCCCAUUUAGGUAACCUUAGGCCAAUUUAGGCACCCUUGGCCCACUUAUGCACUCUAGGCCCAUUUAGGCACACUUGGCCCAUUAGUCAUUACCAUUAGGCCCAUUUAGAUCAUUUUUUGCAUGGAUACAUGGUUUGCAUGGCUUGCAUGGUUGCAUAGCUCAUAUGGCUUGCAUGUGCUUGAUUUUGUUUUUGUUUUUUUAUCUUUCUCUAUUUAUUAGUUUUAUUCAUUUAUUUACUUAUUUUUAGAAAAUUGCAUGAGCUUAAUAAUCAUAUUCAUUUCAUUUUUAUUUAUCUAUUUAUUAAUUUAUUUUGAUAAGGAAUUGCUUGAGUCAAUAAUUCGUUUUAGUUAUGCAUGUGAUCUAUAUUUUUAAUUUCUUUUAAAAUGACAUAGUUUGAAUUUUUAAUUAUCAGUCACAUUUUUUUUUAUUAUUACUCUAACCCUUAUUUUUUCUAUUUUUUUAUUUGUUAUAUUUUGUUUUGUUGCCCGGGAUUUUACAUACUCCAUAUUGAAAAAAAGAUUAUUAAAAAGAAUGAUUAUGGGAAGAAGAUUAGCAUGAUGAAGGUGGUCGGUGGAGUCAACAGGAUGAUUAUGGGAAGAAGAUUAAGAAGGCUAGGUUUUGGCAAGUGAAAGGAAAGAGGGUGCAGCACGUAUGUGGACAGGAAGUGAGGUUGUGUUCAAGAAAAAGAAAAAAAAAGUGGUCUAAAAAGGAAGAGUGCAGCCGCGUGAUUAAGGGGAAGAAAGAUCAUUUUCCGGGCUGGUGAGUUGUCUUCCCAUGUUGGCAGGGUACUAGAGAGGAAGAAAAAGAAAAGAAAAGGAGGAGAGACAGACGAUUGACUGAGAAAAAGAAGAAGAGAGGCUGUGAUUUUCAGAGAGAAUAGGAGUGAUCAGUCGGUGUCUUGAAGGGUGAGGCUGUGAUUUUCAGAGAGAGGAGAAGAGCGGGCUGCUGUUUUUCAAAGAGAUCAAUCCACGUUUAAAAGAGAUUGGAGGCUGCUAUUUAGAGAGAUGGAAUCCGUGUUUUGAAAGAAUUUUGGGGGACUGCUGUUUGAGGAGGGAGUCCAGGUUUUAGAGGGGAUUCGGGCUGCUGUUUUGGAACGGAGAGACACAACUGCUUGUUGAUAUUCAUUGGCUACUCACCCUGCCAUGGUGAAGAUGAAUACAUACCUACCUUGUUGAAUCUGAAGAUGAGAGGGUGCAGUUGCACCAUUCUGGGACGUGAGGAGAACCAUUGAGAAAGAAAGUGGAGGCAACCGCACCAUGCAUUGAAGGAGCCGCACCAUGCACUGAGAUUUCAUUCCUCUCCAAAGGUACCCACACGGCUGCAAGUUGAAGAGGAACUCACCAUAGCCGCACCAUGCAUCGAGAACCAGUCGCACCACUCCUUUGAAGGAAGAUUCAACACACAUCUCCACGUAAAGGAGAUCCAUUCACACGGCUGCCACUUAGAGAAAUAAACAAUCCGCGUACCUACAGAGCCUCCACGGGGAGCAUUUUCAGCAUCAUCGCACCUUUGAGAGAACUUCUGGAACAGCCGCGUCUUUGAGGAACUUUUAGCCAUCAUCCGCACCUUUGAGAGAACUUUUGGAACAGCUACAUCUUUGAGGAACUUUCAGCAUCACCCGCACCUUGAGAACUUCUGGAACAGCCGCAUCUUUGAGGAACUUUCCUCUACAGCCACAUCAUUGGGAGACGAGAGAGGAAUCAGCCACACCCAUCCAGACUUGCUCCUAUAACUUCACAGCCGGCUAGCACCAAGCACAGUACACCUAUCCGGUUGGGUGAGUUUAUCUCUUAUUUUUUUAAUCCAUCAAUACAACAUGUUAAAGGUUCAUUAUGAAUUUAUUGUUAUGCCAUUAAGAGUCAUUGUUAAACUUGAGAUAUUUAUAUCUAUAGGUUAACUACUUAUCCAUUUAUUAAUAAGAUUUAUGUUAUAGGUUAGAGACAUAGUUCUAAAACUUGUCUUAGAUAAUUUUUCUUUAAUUUAAUUUUUGAUUUACGCGAGAUUUGUGUGCGUUAAAAUAGUUAAUAUUAAGUGGUAAAUAUUUGAUUUUAGGAUUGCCAUAAUUGGUGUUAAAAAUAUUUUUAAACUUAGAUUUCAUUUUAGUAAUGUAAAUUUAUUUGAAACUGUUGAUCCUAUGAGUUCAUAUUUCGUUUUAGUCAUACUUAUUUAUUGUGUUAUCUAUUUAUCCAUUUGUUAAUGAGAUUGAUUUUAUAGUUUAGUUUUAAAAUUUGUUUUGGAUAGUUUUUUUUAAUUUAAUUUUAGGUUUAAGUAAAAUUUUAGUUUGUUAAGAUAAUUGACCUCAUGUGUUAAAUAUAUGAUUUUUAGAUUUGCCUAAAUUAGCGUUUAUUUUUUUAUUUUUUUAUUUUUUUUGAGUUUAGAUUUCAUUUUAAUAAUGUAAAUUGAUUUAAAAAGGAAGUUGAUUCCAUGAAUUCAUAUUUUGGUUUUUAGUUUGCUUUCAUUUUAUUUGAUUCAUUUUAAUUAUUUUGGUGUUUUUUUUUAUAAUUCGAAGUUAUCAAUAAAAUCAAUUCCACAUUUAGAAGGUGCCUAUGCUUAGUAUACUCUGAUUUAAUUUCACUCAUCCAUUCAGUUUAGGUAUUUUCUAUAAUAUUAGCUCACUAAUAAAGUUAAUUCUAUGAUUGACAAUUUAUUAUUUGCUUUGAUUUAAUUUGGCUCAUUUUAAUCAAUUUAGAUGUGUUCUUGUGUUUAAUUGAUCUCAUGCUAAUUCUUGAUUGUUAUUCUUAAUGGAUGUGUUUCUUGAAUAUUCAUCAUUAAUUCUUGGUGGGUAUCUCGUUAGCUUAUUUGAUCUAAGUUUGAAUAGUUUAUUGCUUUGGUAGUCUCUAGUAAAAUUUACUUUUCAGAGGCUAUCGGAAAAUAGUGAAGAUUGACCUCCAUUCCCACCACUUCAAUUUUAUCGGUUGUCAAAAAUUCUACUUUGUGAUUUUGUUCUUUUUUUUCUUUUGCUUGGUAUUUUGAUUCAUACAUUUUAUUGUUUUCAAAUUAACUUCUUUUAUCUUUAAAACAUAACAAUAUUCUCAAAAUCUCGUUUCCUUAAAAACAAACCAUUUCAAAAAUUCAUUUAGAGUUCUCAGAAUCAAAAUCCCAUUCCCUUUAAAAAUUCAUUUCAAAGAUUCCUUUAGGAUUCUUAAAAUCAAAACCCUAUUUUCUUAAAAUAAUAUGCAACCAUUUUUUUGAUUGGUUUGCAUCUUUCUCAGUUUUUAACGAAAAUUUUGGUUUGAAAUCAGACUCGAAUCAAAGCUUGUGGUCCCACAUAAAUGGGAUAAUUUUGAGCUAAAUUCGUGUAUAUCAAUUGGGGAAUUGGUGAAACCCCUACAUAAAAAAAUCUUUUCAAAAAGUAUUUUUGUUGCCACUUUUGUCACUUGUUGAAAUUAUGUCUAUUUUUUUUUUUUUUAGGAAUUGUAUACAAGAUGAGUGUGAUAAUUAGUGUUUUCAUAUACUUUGAUAAUUUCUGCUAUGCUAAUUAGAUAACGAGCAUGCUAGGAUUCCUAUAUUCUAUUAUUUAUUAUCUAACCCCUCAUGUCUUAUGGAAGCGCAUUGUAAGUCAUCUAUGUUAUCCAGGUACGUAUCACCUACUUUCUAAAUUUUGUAAACAAUCAUGUCACUGUGAAAUAUGCAUAUGUUUGAUAAUCCUUAGGUGCUUAGAUGUAUGCUAGAUUCGCUAUGAUUAAAUACAUGUUGUGUGCUAUACUUCUAUACUAUCUCUCAUGUUUUAUGAUAGCGCUUGGGAAGCCAUCCAGGUACGCAUCCUUAACUUUCCUUCAUUGUUAUUUGAUCUUGUUAGGCAUGCAAUAUUCGAAAUCAUCUAGUCUACUUAGGUAUCCAUAAUUAACUGAUUAAUGGCCACACUUCCCUUAACUUUGUCAGUAGAGACCUUUAUAGGGCUUAGAGGGGUGCUACCUUUCAAAGGUACCUUCCCAAUAGGUAACCUGAUCCCCGGACUUAACUCGGGUUUUUCAAGGACACGCUUUUCCAAAAAUUAUGGAGUCAUUUUUUUUAGGGUUUUAUUUCUUGUUUUAUUUUCCCUUCAAAAAUAAAAAUAAAAUAAGUGGCGACUCCAACUUUUUUCAAAAAUCAAUUUCUCACAAACAAAAAGCGAGUCUCGCCGAUCGAGUGGGGGCGCACGUGAAAAAUGCGGAACCACACCUACAAAAUAAAAUUCAAGUAGAUUUAGGUACCCAUAUGAUUCGUCCCUAGCAGCGGCAGUGGCAAUGGCACCAUCUGAUUCGGGGUUCGAUCCUCGGCAACGGCGCCAUUUGAUUCGUGCCCAAUUGGUGUCUCAGCUGAUUUGUGUCCAGCUGGUGCUCCUUGAUUGAGGGAGUAAUCAACAAAAUUUAUAAUCUAUAACACCAUAUACUAGGGUAGCAAAGAAAAAGCUACUAUAGUAUAGUGGCUCUAGGAUCGUUCACUGGGAUGGGUUUUCACUUUACAAAUGAUAUCAAUUCAAAGCUGAAUUGGUGCCUUUUCAUUUCAAGGUUAGCUUUAAAAGAAAACAUAAAGAUGUUUGAAAGAAAAGAAUUUGGUUUUAAACUAACCAAAAGUAGUAACUGAUUUUACUUAUAAAGAAAGAUGUUUCUUGGAGUUCAGAUCACUAGGCUCAGAUUCCUCAUACAAAAAGGGAGUUCCGGUCACUUGUUUAUUUUCCUCGCAUUAGAGAAUUAACAUAUAGUUAAUUCUCUAACCGGUAUUGUACAGAUGCUUCCCAUUAAUGGGUUCAAACACUAAAUCCCUCUCACUGAUGCAACUUGCAAUGGUUCAUGCCUCUCACCUAGCACUUGCCAUUCAAGGUGAUCUUUAACCUUGGAUUACCCGUCAAAAGCUCGCAAGAGAUAACUAAUGGAUGUCUCCUUGGAGUCCAAAAGCUUACCAAGUGUUGGCUAUUCUAGAAAAUCCUACCUUCAAGUCACCUCCCAAAGGCUCGCAAGGGGUAAACUAGUGCAUUUCCAUGGUUGGAAAUCACUUGCCUUACCAAGUGUUGGCCCAGGUGACUCUAAGGUGUUUUAAGUUAACUAAAAACAUAGAAAUCACUAACGGGUUACACUUUCUCUUCAUUAAAAACUAAAACAACAAAACUUCCCAAUUAUGCAUGUGGAAACUUACCCGGCUUUCCUCACUCCAAGAGACAAAAAGCUUAGCCUCUCAUCCUCUGUGGAAAAAUCCUCAGAGUUUGGUUGGCUAGAAAAUGAAAAUGAAAGAGAAGACAAGAAUAUAUAUCAAAAACAGAGCAAGUGCUCUGUUCGUUGAUUCUAUAUAUUGGAUUACAUAUAUGAUCCUCCUCUUUUACAGUGGAUGCAAGGGAAUAUAUAUAGAGGAGUUUUUCCAACCUUCCCAACUAAGAAAUCUUAUGGUUGGUGGAUUACAAGGAGAAGAAUGGAAAUUUAUACAAAAAUAUCUGAAGAAAAAUAUCCAAAAGAGUCGGUGCACAAAUAUCAAGAAGCACUAAGGACAUUUCGCAGGUGAAAAUGGUGUCUGCGAGAUUUCGCAGACACUCAAGAGGGCUGCGAAAUAUUUUCGCAACAACAAGUUAAACUCGCAGGGCUGCGAAAUUGGCUUCCACCUUGAGGUUCUCAGCGUUCCAGCUUGCGGCAUGUAUCGGGUAGCUUCAGGAGGAAUUCCAUAGCACUGUACAAAAAGGCUGCGAAAUUCUCGCAACAAAAGGCUGAUUUCGCAACACUUUGGAGUGAUCUGCUUGCAAUGGCUGUAACUCCUUCGUUUCAACUCCGAAUCGUGCACCGUUUGAAGCAUUCGAUUCUUGACUUCCUGAGCUUUGAAAUGGUAUAUAGAAUGUAGAAAAUGGACUUCGGAAAGUGCUCCAAAAGUGCGCAAGAAGACUGCAGCUAGCUUUCCUCUGUUUUCUUCACUAUGUUUUUCCUCUCUCCUUGCUUCUCUCCUUGCAUACUUUGAACGACUUUGGCAAAGGGCUAUGGAGCUCCAAAGCUUGGUUCUUCUUGAAUUUGAGCUCUUCAUUGCUUUGCCAUGGAUUCCAAAUAACUCUCCUCAAUCUUGGAUUGUUUUGGUGAUCAAAUUACUAACAAAAACACCAAAACUUACACAAUUUGAUUAGAAAUGAUUGCAAGGGUCCUUAACAUGUUAAUUGGGUUAAAAGGCAAUAACUACUACUCAAAAGUGUUUAAAAGGAUUAAUUACAAGCUACAAAAUAGCACUUUUUGAGUAGUAAUCACUCCCCCCAACCGACAUAUUGCUAGUCCCUUAGCAAUGGAGGAGAUAAAAACUAAGUAAACUAUAAUAAUAUACAUAAAAGGGAUCAUGCAAAUCACUCCAAAAAAUGAUAUGAGUGGCAUGAUGGACAUCCAUGGAUCAAUAAAGAUGUAAAACUCAACCUAUAAUUAGAGUUGUCAAAGCAUUCACUUGAUCAUAGAGUACAAAGAAUGGAUAUUAUGCAAGUUUAAGCAUCAAAAGAAUUUCCACUCUCAAAAGAUCCAAAUCACAUUCUUCCACUAAAAGCUAAGUGUUAAUGUGAUUAGCUUCCAAGUAUAGUAUGGAUAACUAUCAUCUCCCCCCAACCUAAGUCUUUCUUUAAGCUUAGCAAAAUUAACCAUCUCUUGAUAGGCUAGGAACGCACCUCUUAUUCACAAUUCUUUUCACUUACUAAACUUAACCAAUUCACCCAUGUAACAAGCAGAGGAUCGGUGACUCCCAACCAAUAAAGGCUUAGGGCACCAGGCUUUAAAGGCUUUCGCCACCCCUUCGGACCAUGCUCAGGUUUCAAGGCAAGUAAAGAAGUUUAUUCUAUUUUUUUUUUCUUUUUCUUUUUCUUUUUCUUUUUCUUUUUCUACAAAGACUCAUUGGUCUUUAUGAGGUGUCCCAACACUAUUAAAGAGAGGUUAAAGGUGUCAAAUUAUGAUUUCUCAAGCUUAGAGGGUGAGAUAGUUUCACAUCUUAUAACCGGAAUCUAAUGUAUGUGUGUGCGAAUAGCUUAAGGUGGAAGAGAUAAGUUUGCAUGCAAUGGAGUUUCAACAAUUCAUCAACUUUUAAAAGAGCAUAAUACAAACUCUAAGACUCCUGUAAUCAAGUUGAAACUCGACUUCUCUCAUUUAAUUUUUGAGAGUUAAUCCUUAAUAUCCAUGGAGUUUAAAGCAAAAAUUUUAAAAUUUAAGCAAAAAGCAACUAAAUUACCAAAAUAACUUAGCAUUAUUAACAAUACUUACUUCCUCAACUCUCCCCCCAACCAAGCUGAACAUUGUCCUCAAUGUGACAAAAGCGAUUAAAAAAUAGGGAGGAAGUGGUACCUCCUGAGUGACAUGGAGUUUGAGUCGUGUAGGAGAAACCACAUGUUUCAAAGAAAACAUAAGAGUUAGUGAGUAGAGGAAAUAGAAAAAUGUUAAGUUUAAACAAAAAAAAUGAUGUCUAUGUAUGAUGUAUCAUCAGUAAUACAUCCAAUUCUAGAAUAUAAGACAUCAAAACAUGGAAUUAUGUAUACUAAUAUAAUAUGUAAAGACAAAAAUUAAAGAGAUGAUCAAGUAAUGGUAAGGUCCUGUGGAGCUGAUGUGUCUGUGAUGGCCUCUUGAGUGGGUUGGAUCAAAACUUUGGCCUCUAUUCUGGUAGUCUCCUUAGGUGGCAUAGUCUCCUCAACUAGAGCUCUCAGUUGGUAGCUAUGGGAUUUGAUGGUUUAAGGAGGUCAGUAAUGGAGUGAGAGGCUUGGUGUGUGUGAUCUCAAGGUGCUCGGGGCUCUCCUCUUCAGAUGCAUGGUCGCAGGGCUCUGUUGGCAUUUUAGCAACUUCCCUUGGCUUUGCAAAGUGUUUUUGCAAAUCACCCUCCAUUUCACAAGUCAAUUUCGCAAUUUGAAGGCCAUUUCUAAGCUUGGAGGUGAUUUCGCAACCAUUUCGAAGCUUGGAGAUCAUUUCGCAGAAAAGUGGCAUGUUCACAGACCAUUUUUGAAGCUUGGAGCUCAUUUCAUAGCCAUUUCGCAGCUCAAAAGUGAUUUCGCAGCCCAAAAUUGAUUUCGUAGUUCAUUUCGCAGCUUCAAAAUGAGGAGAACUGUGCUGCAAAAUGGCACUCGUGUGCCAAAGUUGGUUUCGCAGCUGCGAAACACCCUUCCAAAUGGUGUCUCGGCUGCGAAAUUCUCGCUCAGCUUUGUGCGCUUGUCUUCAAACGACCAUAACUUCUUCAUUUCACCUCCAAAUUGUGCACCGUUUGAAGCUCUGGACUUCUGACUUCCCAAGCUUUGAAACAAGAUAUUGUAUGCAUAAUUUGAGCUCCAGGAAGUGCUUCAAAAAUGUGUCCAACAGUAGCGAAAUGGAGGUGCGACAUUUCCGUUCAUGGUUUGCAUAGUCAUCUUCAAACAGCCAUAACUUUUCCGUUUCAAAUCCAAAUCUAGUACCGUUUGAAGCUAUGGACUCAUGACUUCCCAAGCUUUCAAAAGAGAUAUUGCACGCAUAAUUUGAACUUCGGUAAGUGAUCGAAAUGUUUCCAACAGUUGCCGAAAUGGGGGUGCGGCUGUGAAAUUGGGAUUUUUCACAUUUUGGAACUUCGCAGCCGUUUCGCAGCUGCGAAAUGAGAGUCACUGUGCUGCGAAAUGGCACUCAUGUGCCAAAACCAGCUUCGCAAUUGCGAAAUACCCUGCGGAAUGGGACUUUUGGUGCGAAAUCAGGCUUUACCACUUCGCAAUGCGUUUCGCAGCUGCGAAAUGGAUGCUCCUGUGCUGCGAAGUGGCACUCGUGUGCCAAAAUGGGUUUCGCAGCUGCGAAAAUUUUCGCAGAGACUUCUACAGUGUUGCGGAAUGGUUUGGCAACAAAAUGCCAAUUUCGCAGAGGCUGCGAAAUCUCGCAGACCCUUGUUUUUCCCCUGUUUUCGCUCCGUUUGACUCCAAUUUUGCUCCGAUUUUGCUCCGAUUUUUUUUCUUCAAUUUCUUUGCAAUUCCUCUUGAUUUUGAUCAUCCAAAAACCUAUAUUACAUCAAAACAAACUAGAAUUAAAGCAUUGAAAUCAAAAUUAAAGCAUUGAAAUCAAAAUUAAAACAAGAAAAAAAACAAAACAAAAAGAUAUGGACUAGCUAGUCUUUAAAAAGACUAAGUCCAUCAAAAAAUUUGCUCCUGAUUUAGCUUGCCCGGAUCCCAAAUGAAGUUUGCAUCCUUCAAUUGAGACUUGGUUUGUAUGAUUUUCCCAGACAAAGCUUGGAGAAAAGGUGGAGGCAUGUGUUUCUUCAUCAAUUCUUCCUUGAUGACUAUCCUCUGUGGUUCUCUCUGUACAUUAACAUCAUAGCCAUCUUUCUCUAUGCUUUUCCCCUUUUUCUUUCCUUUGAUUUCCUCCCUCUUUUCUUUCUCUGUUUCACUCUCUACCUUAUGCUCUAGCUUGCAUGUGGGCAAAUCAACCUCUUUACCACUCCUCAGAGUGAUCACUUCCUUGACUUCCCUCUUUUGUGAAGGUUCUCCCUCCUCAACCUCCAUUUCAUGGAUACUCAUGGAAUUUUGAUAAGGUUGAGAAGGAGAGUUUUCUUCCUCUUGCAUUGUGUUGAGGUUGGCAAGCCUUGAGAUUGAAUCUUGGAGAAUAUCUAACUUUUGGGCCAUAUCAUUUUGCAUUUCAUCCAUCCUUUUAUUCAAAGUACUCUCCAUACUGUCAAUUCUUUGAUUGAUUUGAGCAUUGAUGGCUUCUUGCUUUUCAAUAAAAUCUCCCACGACCUUGCAAAGAUUCACCAUAGUUUGUUCAAGGUUUGAGGCUUGCUGUGGUGCUUGAGCAGGUUGCUGAUACUGAGGUGGCUGUGGUUUCCAAGAGAAAUUUGGAUGGUCCCUCCAAUUGGAAUUGUAAGUGUUGCAAUCACCUAACAUUUCCCUCUCGGCUGGAAUGGUAGGACACUCUUCCACCAAGUGCUCAUAUGAUAGACAAAUGGCACAAGGCAUAGCUUGCAAUGGUGUCUGAGAGAUGGCUUGCACUUCUUGCAUCUGGUUCAUUUCUAGCUCAUCCAAUCUCCUUUCCAUAGCUGCAAUCUCUGCCUUCAUGUCUAUGCCAUCAUUCAAAAUAUACAUCUCACCCUUAGCAUUAGGUUGAGACGUCAUUCUUCCCAUAUCUCUAGCAUUUGGUUCAUCCCAUCCUCUUGAGACUUCAGCCACAUAACCCAUGAAGUUCAUGGCUUCCUCUGCUAUCUCGUAUUCAAUAUGGCAUGCACAACUAGCAACUUGUGAAUUAAAAACAGAGAACACAAAAGAAAACAAAAGAAAAACAAUUCAAAGAAAGAAAAUUAAGGUAAACUAAAAACUAAAUAAAAGGUAUACUAAAAUAUGAACAAUAAAGAAAUAAAAAGAGUUAGUAAAAGGAAAAGAAAAGUCACCAAACUUGUGAUGAAGAUCACAAGUACUCUAAAAGGGUGAUAUCACUGUAAAGUGGCACCAUCCCCGGCAACGGCGCCAUUUGAUUCGUCCCUAGCAGCGGCACUGGCAAUGGCACCAUCUGAUUCGGGGUUCGAUCCCCGGCAACGGCGCCAUUUGAUUCGUCCCUAGCAGCGGCAGUGGCAAUGGCACCAUCUGAUUCGGGGUUCGAUCCUCGGCAACGGCGCCAUUUGAUUCGUGCCCAAUUGGUGUCUCAACUGAUUUGUGUCCAGCUGGUGCUCCUUGAUUGAGGGAGUAAUCAACAAAAUUUAUAAUCUAUAACACCAUAUACUAGGGUAGCAAAGAAAAAGCUACUAUAGUAUAGUGGCUCUAGGAUCGUUCACUGGGAUGGGUUUUCACUUUACAAAUGAUAUCAAUUCAAAGCUGAAUUGGUGCCUUUUCAUUUCAAGGUUAGCUUUAAAAGAAAACAUAAAGAUGUUUGAAAGAAAAGAAUUUGGUUUUAAACUAACCAAAAGUAGUAACUGAUUUUACUUAUAAAGAAAGAUGUUUCUUGGAGUUCAGAUCACUAGGCUCAGAUUCCUCAUACAAAAAGGGAGUUCCGGUCACUUGUUUAUUUUCCUCGCAUUAGAGAAUUAACAUAUAGUUAAUUCUCUAACCGGUAUUGUACAGAUGCUUCCCAUUAAUGGGUUCAAACACUAAAUCCCUCUCACUGAUGCAACUUGCAAUGGUUCAUGCCNNNNNNNNNNNNNNNNNNNNNNNNNNNNNNNNNNNNNNNNNNNNNNNNNNNNNNNNNNNNNNNNNNNNNNNNNNNNNNNNNNNNNNNNNNNNNNNNNNNNUAUCUAGAAAUCUACUUCAAGUCACUCCAAAGCUCGCAAGGGGUAAACUAGUGCAUUUCCAUGGUUGGAAAUCACUUGCCUUACCAAGUGUUGGCCCAGGUGACUCUAAGGUGUUUUAAGUUAACUAAAAACAUAGAAAUCACUAACGGGUUACACUUUCUCUUCAUUAAAAACUAAAACAACAAAACUUCCCAAUUAUGCAUGUGGAAACUUACCCGGCUUUCCUCACUCCAAGAGACAAAAAGCUUAGCCUCUCAUCCUCUGUGGAAAAAUCCUCAGAGUUUGGUUGGCUAGAAAAUGAAAAUGAAAGAGAAGACAAGAAUAUAUAUCAAAAACAGAGCAAGUGCUCUGUUCGUUGAUUCUAUAUAUUGGAUUACAUAUAUGAUCCUCCUCUUUUACAGUGGAUGCAAGGAAAUAUAUAUAGAGGAGUUUUUCCAACCUUCCCAACUAAGAAAUCUUAUGGUUGGUGGAUUACAAGGAGAAGAAUGGAAAUUUAUACAAAAAUAUCUGAAGAAAAAUAUCCAAAAGAGUCGGUGUACAAAUAUCAGGAAGCACUAAGGACAUUUCGCAGGUGAAAAUGGUGUCUGCGAGAUUUCGCAGACACUCAAGAGGGCUGCGAAAUAUUUUCGCAACAACAAGUUAAACUCGCAGGGCUGCGAAAUUGGCUUCCACCUUGAGGUUCUCAGCGUUCCAGCUUGCGGCAUGUAUCGGGUAGCUUCAGGAGGAAUUCCAUAGCACUGUACAAAAAGGCUGCGAAAUUCUCGCAACAAAAGGCUGAUUUCGCAACACUUUGGAGUGAUCUGCUUGCAAUGGCUGUAACUCCUUCGUUUCAACUCCGAAUCGCGCACCGUUUGAAGCAUUGGAUUCUUGACUUCCUGAGCUUUGAAAUGGUAUAUAGAAUUUAGAAAAUGGACUUCGGGAAGUGCUCCAAAAGUGCGCAAGAAGACUGCAGCUAGCUUUCCUCUGUUUUCUUCACUAUGUUUUUCCUCUCUUCUUGCUUCUCUCCUUGCAUACUUUGAACGACUUUGGCAAAGGGCUAUGGAGCUCCAAAGCUUGGUUCUUCUUGAAUUUGAGCUCUUCAUUGCUUUGCCAUGGAUUCCAAAUAACUCUCCUCAAUCUUGGAUUGUUUUGGUGAUCAAAUUACUAACAAAAACACCAAAACUUACACAAUUUGAUUAGAAAUGAUUGCAAGGGUCCUUAACAUGUUAAUUGGGUUAAAAGGCAAUAACUACUACUCAAAAGUGUUUAAAAGGAUUAAUUACAAGCUACAAAAUAGCACUUUUUGAGUAGUAAUCACCAUAUCUUUUUAGGUCCUUAAGGGUUAGUGACCUUGGAUUUUUCAAUCCAAAUCUUUUUAGGUUUUGCAUUUGACGCAUCCACUAUCGAAGAACCACUUAUCCUUCUUUGAACCCUACAAAAUAAAAUUCAAGUUGAUUUAGGUACCCAUAUCUUUUUAGGUCCUUAAGGGUUAGUGACCUUGGAUUUUUCAAUCCAAACAUUUUUAGCUUUUGCAUUUGAAUUCUUUUGAGAAUCAUUUUUUAAGGGGCAUGUACAACUAAUGUACCCUCCUCUUCCACAAAAGUUGCAAGUUGUAGAAGGACUUGCACUUGAGGAUUGUUUUACAAAGUAGUUUUUAAAAUACUUUUGAUUUUUUGAAGAUUUGAAUCUUAGCCUUUGUUUGUCAAAAACACAUUUUUGGCUAGCUAUAAUCAUUUCGAAAGAUUUUUGUCCACAAGAGAAGAUUGAAAGAGAGGAUGUCAACCAUUCAUUUUUAUUUUUCAAAAUCUCAUUUUCAUUUCUCAAAAUCUCAUUUUCUUUUUCAAGAUGAUUUUUAUAAAUUUCAACAAUUGAAAUUUUUUAUUUUACUUCUUCAAGUUCUUUUUCAAGUUCUUGAAUUUUCUUUUUAAGAGAAUUAUUUUUCAAACUAAGUUUUUCAAAAUCCUCAUAUAAUUCUUCAAAAACAUCCUGCAUAUCUUCAUCACUAAAGUUAGAGUUUACCUCAUCAAGUUCAUUUAUUGCCAUGAAGUACAUGUUUGCCACUUCUUUAUCCUUUUCUUCUUCAGAGGAUUCUUCACUUUCACUCUAAGUGACUAUCAUUGUCUUUUUCAUUCUUCUCUUGGCUUCACUUUUGUAGAGAGGACAAUCAUAUUUAAUGUGUCCCGAUUUUUUGCAUUUGAAACACACCAAAUAUCUUUUCUCUUCCUAUUUCUCCUUGUCACCAUGAGAUGAAGAUUCCUUUUUAGAAAGGUCUCUUCUAGAGGUGAACUUUCUUCCUCUAAACCUUUCGUCCCUCAUGUAUUUAUUGAGCUUUCUUAUGAUGAGGGCUAAAUCAUCAUCUUCUUCACUUGGUUUUUCUUCUUUAACAUCUUCUUUUUUCUUAGUUGUAGCUUUGAAAGUUAUGUUCUUCUUCUUUUUGUCUUCUCCAUCUUGUAGCUUCUUUGCCAAAUUGAUCUCAUAUGUCAUUAAUGACCCUAUGAGCUCCUCCAUAGGUAACUUGGUCAAGUCUUUUGCUUCUUGAAUUGUAGUGACCUUUGUAUGCCACUUUGAUGGGAAUGACCUCAAUAUCUUCAUCACCUUUUCGGAUUCCUUGCAGGUCUUUCCCAAUGCUUCAAGACCAUUGACAAUGUCAGUGAACCUGGUGAUCAUCUCAACAAUAGUCUCAUUUUCUUUUAUAAAAAACAAUUCAUAGUUAUGAACAAGUAUAUUUAUUUUUUACUAUUUCACUUGAUUUGUUCAUUUAUGAGUUAUUUCAAGAAAUCUCCAAAUUUCUUUAGCCGAUUUACAUUGACAUAUUCUAUUAUAUUCAUUUUUAUCCAUAGCACAUUGCAAAGUAAAAAUGGCCUUAGCAUUUAAUUGAAAAUUUCUUCUAUCAAACUCAUUCCAUUCUUGCUUGGGUUUUGGAACCAAGACUCCAUCAACUAGUUUUGUAGGAAAAGUUGGGUCAUCUUCAAUGACAUCUCAUACGUCUAAAUCGGUUGAUUGUAAAUACCAAGUUGUAGACCCUCCAUUUUGUCCCUUUAGCACAUGUCUUUAAGUUCACUUUCAGUAUUCCACAAUGUUUCUUUGAUGGCCCAUUACUACUCGUGUAACUUACCUUUUCUAAGCCACUUUGGAGACUUUGGUUGAAGGGUUUAUCCGGUUCCACAUUACGACCUUGCCUACCCUUCAAGUUUAGACUAGGCUUCACUUAGAUACACUUGGCCCAUUAGGCACCACCUUAGGCCCACUUAGAUUCACCCUGACCUACUUAGAUCCACCUAGACACCUUCUAAAUUGCACACAUUCACCUUAGGUCACUUAGGUCACUUAGGCACCUUUUCAUAAUAGGUCACUUGGACACUUCUUUUGGCAUGGUCCACUUAGGCGUGUUCUUGAUUUUGGUUACUUCCUUUUCUGAGAUAAGAUGAGUAUUGGGUUGACUACAUAUUGCAUGAAAUGAAUAUUUUUUAUUUUUGGGGGUUUGAGUUUGACACUUAAAUUGUUCUGAUCCAUCGCAUUAAUUUAAUUUCUUGUUUUUUUCUAAUUGCAUACAUCUAAUAUUUAUUUUUGUUACCCUUAUCAAUUUAUUUGUCUAUUUACUCACCUAUUUAUACAUUUUUUAAUUCCAAUUAAUUAACAUCUUAGAUUUUUUGUGGCAUGUGAUUUGAUUUUCGAUUUUUAUUUUAUUUUAUUUCCAAUCACAGGAUUUUCUUAUUUCCAUUUUAUUUUUUAAUUUUGCAUGUCAUUUGGAGUGGUCAAGGAGAGGAGGUCACAGCUAAAGAAGAGCAGCCUGCAAGGUGGAAGGACCCACAUACACUCGCAGAGAAAACAAAAACGGAAGCCAUUUAGCCUUUUUUUUUUCUUUUUCUUUUUAUUACUUCCUUUUUUCUUUAUAUAGGAUGGGUGCCAAUUCUCGUUUUGAUUCCAUUUAUUCUCUCUAUUCAUUUCUCCUGGAAUGACCCAACUUCUUCGCUACAUCUCUCUCUCGUGAAGGGUUCAAGGUUUUCUUCGCUACUUCAGAUCUUGCAGCAGCUCGAAUCCUCACCGAUAUUGGAGCGCUCUCACCUGUCAACUCUCAAUUCUCAAUUCAAUAACAUCUCCGCAUUGGAUUUCAAUUCUGGAUCGUCGACCUAGCCGUCGUGGUUGUCGCAAUCGCCACUAUCACCGCCGGAGGUGCCUCUUUGGAUAUUUUUCUCUUUUCCGGCACUAUUUGUACGUUCCCAAACAAGAUGUGUUGUGACGAGGUGUACGGCGUCAAAGCUCGACAACAAAGACGUUGUGCAGCAGUGCAAGGAGCGGGGAUGCCUCAUGAAGGAGGGUCGCCUAUGUCCACCAUCACCGUUCCACCGUUCACGCUGACUACUAUCGUUCGUUUAGCAUCACUGGAUCUGCUCUCUCCAACCGCCGCCCCCUACACCAACGUUCAGUCUCAAUUUCCUCUCAUCUUAAUAGAGCUCACUACUAUUAUAGAAUCGCUGGAGUUAUCGCCUACGUUGGCACCUAAAAAGCGGCGCCGAAGAUGUUGCUCUGUCGUUACAUGCUCUGUCUCCGUCCUCGCCAACUGCUCCUUCGUCAUCACCACGCUUUGGAUCACCGCUGACGCCCUCUCCUACACCAUUUUCGUCUGACGUUAGGGAUGUGCAGCACGUGAGUACCGAGAGCGUAAAUUCAGAGGGGGGAGAGUCAUCCAGAGGAUUCAAAGGUGGAUAGAAAGUCAAAAUAGCGCUUGGAGUCAUCGCCUAUGUCGCUACGCUCAGAUCCAAUUUAGCGUUUCAAUCCUCUUGAGUCGUUUGUGGGCGUUUUUGGCUCCUUCUUCGUUGUCAUAUGUUUCAUUGGAUGUUUCUUUUUCUUGAAUUACCAUGCUGUCAGUCAGAGGCUUCACACUCGUACAUUGCCUGGGAGGCUUUCUUGGUUGGGAUUUGAUGAGUCGCAGUUGUCCUCCCCGUUGUCGUUAGGGGCGAUUGUCGAUAUACUGCUGGGGUUUCUUGAAGAGGGUGUUGAUGGGUGUAACGUGUUUGAUGGGAGUUGGGUUUGGAAUGAGAGCUACCCUCUAUAUCAAUCCUAGAAUUGUUCAUUGCUAGAUGAUGGGUUUCAUUGUUUUGAAAAAUGGUAGUCCUAAUAGUUUCUACAUCAAGUGGCGUUGACAGCCUAAGUAUUGUAACUUACAAGACACGGUUUGCACAUGUGCACUUUCCAUAUAUCUGUCGGGAUUAAAAAAAGAAACAGAGUAUCCCAUGGAAAUGAUAGGUUGCCAUAUAAAUAAGAGAGGGACGAGAAUUAAAGGGGGGAAAUGUUUUUUUUUUUUUUUUUUUUUGUCGGGGAAAAAUAGGCUAAGGAAAUUUUUUUCAGAGAGAGCACACAGAAUUUUGGAGGAGAGCGAGGGAUUUCAGACGAAGAUCGGGCUGCCACUUUAAUCAUCAAGAGAGGAUUUUUCUUUCACUUCAUAGGUUAGUUUUCUAUACAGUAUUUUUAUUUAGCCUAGAUUUGUUUUUUGAAAUUUUAAUUUUUGAUUAAUUCUUUGUGUUAAAGUUUAUAUCUUUAAUUCCGGGUUAAUUAGUUUAGUUUUCAUUUAUUUUUUAGUUUGAAUGUGUUAGUGAUUUUAAUUCAUUAGUUUAAAUAAUCUUGUCAGAUAAAGUUUAUAUUUUUUUUUUAAUUCCGGAUUAGUUAAGUUUUAGUUUAUGUUUUAGUUUGAAUGUGUUUGUGAUUUUAAUUCAUUAGUUUAAAUAAUCUUGUGAGAUGAAGUUUAUAUUUUUAAUUUAGGAUUAGUUCAGUUUUAGUUUGAAUGUGUUUGUGAUUUUAAUUCAUUAGUUUAAAUAAUCUUCUGAGAUAAAGUUUAUAUUUUUAAUUUAGGAUUAGUUCAGUUUUAGUUAAUAUUUUAGUUUGAACGUGUUUGUGAUUUUAAUUCAUUAGUUUAAAUAAUUUUGUGAGAUAAAGUUUAUAUUUUUAAUUUCAGAUUAGUUUAGUUUUAGUUUAUGUUUUAGUUUGAAUGUGUUAGUGAUUUUAAUUCAUUAGUUUAAAUAAUUUUGUGAGAUAAAGUUUAUAUUUUUAAUUCCGGAUUAGUUUAGUUUUAGUUUACGUUUUAGUUUGAAUGUGUUAGUGAUUUUAAUUCAUUAGUUUAAAUAAUUUUGUCAGAUAAAGUUUAUAUUUUUAAUUCCGAAUUAGUUUAGUUGUAGUUUAUGUUUUAGUUUGAAUGUGUUUGUGAUUUUAAUUCAUUAGUUUAAAUAAUUUAGUGAGAUAAAUUUUAUAUUUUUAAUUUGGGAUUAGUUUAGUUUUAGUUUAUGUUUUAGUUUGAAUGUGCUAGUGAUUUUAAUUCAUUAGUCUAAAUAAUCUGGUGAGAUAAAGUUUAUAAUUUUAAUUCCGGAUUAGUUUAGUUUUAGUUUAUGUUUUAGUUUGAAUGUGUUUUUUAUUUUAAUUCAUUAGUUUAAAUAAUCUUAUGAGAUAAAGUUUAUAUUUUUACUUCCGGAUUAGUUUAGUUUUAGUUUAUGUUUUAGUUUGAAUGUGUUUGUAAUUUUAAUUCAUUAGUUUAAAUAAUCUCGUGAGAUAAAGUUUAUAUUUUUAAUUCCGGAUUAGUUUAGUUUUAAUUUAUGUUUUAGUUUGAAUGUGUUAGUGAUUUUAAUUUAUUAGUUUAAAUAAUCUUGCGAGAUAAAGUUUAUAUUUUUUUGGAUUAGUUUAGUUUUAGUUUGAAUGUGUUAGUGAUUUUAAUUCAUUAGUUUAAAUAAUCUUGUGAGAUAAUUUUUUUUUAAUUCCACAUUAGUUUAGUUUUAGUUUAUGCUUUAGUUUGAAUGUGUUAGUAAUUUUAAUUCAUUAGUUUAAAUAAUUUUAUUAGAUAAAGUUUAUGUUUUUAAUUCCAAUUUAGUUUUGUUAUAAUUUAUUUUUUAGUUUGGAUAUAUUUGUGGUUGUAAUUCAAUAGUUUAAUUAAUCUGGCUAAAUAAACUUCAUGUUUUUAAUUAUAAUUUAGUUUAGUUUUAAUAUGUUUUUUUUUUUUACUUUGAGUGUGUUUAUGAUUUUAAUCCAAUAGUUUAAUUAAUCCCAUUACAUAAAGUUUAUGUUUUUUUAAUUCUAAUUGAGUAUAGUUUCAAUUUAUUUUUAUUUUUUUUAAUCUAGGUGUACUUGUGUGUUUAGCCAAUCCUAUGUUAAUUCUUGAUUGUUAUGUUCAAUUUAUGUGCUUCUUGAAUACUAGUCUUUAAUUUUUGGUGAAUGUCUCAUUAGCUUAUUUGAUCUAAGUUUGAAUAAUUUAUUGCUUUGAUGGUCUCUCAUAAAAUUUACUUGUCAAAGGCCAUUGGAAAAUAGUGACGAUUGGUCUCCAUUCUCACCACUUUAGUUUGCUCGAAUUGUCCAAAUUUUCACUUUGUGAAUUCGUUUUCUUUUGUUUUGCUAGGUAUUUUAUUUCUUAUGUUUUGUUAUUUUCACAUAAAUUCCCUUUAUUUUAAAAUCAAAUGUUUUCCUCAAAAGAUACCCUUGAAAAUUUUAUGUUAAAAAAUUCAUUUAAAGUCCUCAGGAUCAAAAUCUCUUUUUUAAAAAUAAAAUGCAAUCAUAUCUUGAUCAGUUUGCAUCCUUUUCGGCUUCCAAUGAAAAUUUUGGUUUUGAACAAAACACGAAUCAAAGCUUGUGGUCCCAAAUAAAUGGGACAAUUCUAGGCUAAAUUCGUGUAUAUCAAUUGGGGAAUUGGUGAAACCCCUACAUAAGAAAAUCUUUUCAAAACUUAUUUUUCUAUCACCCUUGCUAUUUGUUGUAAUCAUGUCUAUUUAUUUUUUAGGAAUUAUAUACAAGAUGUAUGUGAUAAUUGAUGAUUUCGUAUACUUUGAUAAUUUUUGUUAUGCUAAUUAGAUAUGCAUGUUAGGAUUUCUUGUUUUAUUAUUUAUUAUCUAACCCCCCAUGUCCUAAGAAAGCGUAUUAUGAGUUAUCUAUGCUAUCCAGGUACGCCCCCUAUCACCUACCUUCUAAAUUCUAUAAAUAUGAUCGUCAUUGUGAAUUAUGCUUAUGUUUGAUAGUGCUUGAGUGUUUUGAUAUACAUGUUUCAUUAUUCGAUUAUUUCUAAUAAAACGCAUGUUGGAUAAUAUACUAUUUGAACUAACUUAAUUUGAUGUCUUGUGAUAGCGCUUAAGAAGCAGUCCAAGUACACACCCGAAAUCUUCUUCAUGAUUGUGAUUGGUUUCCUUAUUUAGCAUGUUAUUUUUUAAAAUCACCUAGCCUACCUAGGUAUCUAUAAUUAACCAAUUAAUUGCCACAUUUCCCUAAACUUAGUCAGUAGAAACCUUUGUAGGGCUUAAAGGGGUGCUACUUUUUAGAGGUACCUUCCUAAUAGGUAACCUGAUCCUCGGAUUUAGACUCAGUUUUUUCAAAGACAUGCUUUUCCAAAAACUAUGAAGUCAUUUUUUUAGGGUUUUAUUUCUUGUUUUAUUUUUCCUUUAAAAUAAAAUAAAAUAAGUGGCGACUCCGACUUUUCUAAAAUUAUUUUUUCACAAAUAAAAUCGAGUCUCGCCAAUUGAGUGGGAGAUCACGUGAAAACUGCAGGUCCACACAAGUCAUUCUAGUUUUCCAAUAGGGAUAGUCGGUUCCCAUAAAAAAUGGAGCUCUAUGUUUUGUAAAAUUUUCAAACUCGGAUUUUAUUGUGGUUCAGCACUUCCUUGCCUACGUCCACUCUCCUCAAUCUCCUAACCAAGUGAGAGUUCCACUAACUUGAAGCUUCAACCAAGCUUCCAAUCUUUUUACACUUGGAUUGCGGCUCCAAUUAGCUCUUGCACAAUCUCUUCAAGAUUCAAACCUCUUGAAGGCUUUAACACUCAGUUUUUACAAGAAUGAAUCCCUCAACCUAUCUCAAUGAUAUCUCAAAUACAAAACAAAGCUAGGAUGACUCACAAGGGUGUACUAAAAGAUAUGCAAGUGAGGAUUUAAUGCACUAAAAAGGAAAUGAGAGCUUUUAAGGCAAGAACAAGUAGGUAGACAAUUGAUUGCAAGUGUCUUUCUGUCAUAAUGAAGUAGAGCUCUCAAUUUAUAGGUUUCUAAGCUUGGGAGCCAAGAACAGCAAAAAACAGCCUCAACCGGUCGAGCUGGGGGUCGACCGGUUCACUAGCCGUUGGAGCAUUUAAUGUUUUGGCAGGUUACCAUUGUCUCGAUUGGACCUCGGCCAGAGGUCGACCGGGAAGGAGGAAACCUCAACCAAGAAAGGAAGGAUACUGAAAAAGAGAGAGUGAUUUUGACACUCCUCGACCGGACCUCGACCGCACAAGGGCAACCGGUCGAUUGGUUCCCCAACCAAUUGAGCCGGUUGGCCAGAGCCUCGACCGGUUCAGCCUUUUGGCCCCGAAAACCUAUCUUUUUCACUUCUUUUCUUUUCUAACACUUAGGCAAGGUCUUUAGGUAAAUUAAUAUGCCAAUUUUGAAACGUUUUGCCUAAGGUACAUUUGAUAAAACUCGGGUUUUAAUGAAAUUACAACUAUAGAGAACAAAUCGAGUUUUCCAAAGAUGCAUAAAAAGAUAUGUAAACCCUAAGUGCACUCAUGCAUUCAUCUUACAUUUUUUUUUCUUAUGAUUAAAAGUCUUCCGAAAGUCCUGAUCUUGUAUCCAUUUGGUCAUUUGAUGAAUUUCCGAAUUUAUACCUGAGAUUCUUUACCAUUCAAACCAAUUAGUCACUUAACAAUGGUUUGUUAUCAUCAAAACCUGAUUAGGAGAACCCAUUGGGUUAACACUCUUUUUUACGUGUCUUUGUUUUCCAUAAUGGUAACAUUUGACAUUCUUCUUACCUUAAGGCUUUAACUUACUCUAUUUGUGACUCCCACUAGAACCACGUUUUGUUGAUCUUCCUUUAGAAAUAAUUAGAGCCUCAGUUUGUUGAGAAGAUGAUAUUUGUAUUCCUUAUUUUUAUGCCUACUUUCUUCCUCAAGUAUAGUAGUCGCAACAUUAUUAAAGACUAGUAAAAAACUGAAACACCCAAAGUGGGGGUGAAUGAGUGAUUUUAAAAUUUAAAAUAAAGAUUUAUAUAUAUUAUCCCCAAUUUUUAUCUUGAGAAGUACCAGUGAUACCUUGUAUAACCUAAUAGGCUAUACUUGAAAUCUUUAAGUAUAAAAAUAUGAUUUUUAUCUUCUAGGGAUAACCUAUGAGAUGUUAGGGUAACAAUGAUAAUCAAAUAUUCAAUGAUAUAACAAUGAAAUGAAAAGAUAUGCAGUGGGCAUGAGAUUUUUAUGUGGAAAACCCUCAUACUAACUAUAAAGGGAAAAAAAAAAACCCCCCACAAAAUCUAAGACCUACUAAUCUAAAUCCAUUAUGUGAAAUUAGGUUACACAUAUUUACUUGAUCAUCUUACCUUAAAGAUUUUCUUUUCAGUACCUACAACUUGAUUCACAUUCGCAAUGCAGCAACCUUCAAUUGCUCCAAUGGAUCACUUUAGCCUCGUCAAAGGGAUGAAGGUCUUCAACCCAAGAUUCAUAAAUCAAAUCCUUAAAUGAGAGAUUGGGAAUGGUGUGGUACUUUAGGCUUUCUUCUCAAUGAGAACCUCUCAAUAAGUUUGAGAUCACUUUCCAAUCUCCAGAAUCUCUAAAACGAUCUUUUAAGCCUCAAGGGGUUAUAAUGAGGUAUUUAUAAGAGUAAAUCCUGAAGAGGUUUGGUUUUAGAAGACUUCCAAAUCAUAUUUGCAUGAAAGAAUCUUAGUUGAAAAUUCGUGACCACUCUAGCCUACUUUGGUGGCUUGAACGCUUCAAGUGCUCAAGUAGUAUGGAACGCUUGAGCGGUCAUCAUUUAAGUGUUGUUCCCCGCUUAAGCAUUCUCUAUUUUUCAAAAAAAUUAUAAAAAUUAAUUUUAAAUUCAAAACAAUUAUCAAUCCUCUUUAUACCUCAAUAGAGUCUACCACAAGCCAAAGAUUUUUAAACAUAUCUGUGACUUCCCAGUUGGACGAAUGGCAACUCUUGAUCUUCAAUGGAAAGCAAGUCACUAUCUAAAAAGACUUCUAUAUUCAAACAUUAAAAAAAAAACAAAAUUAUUAACAAUUAAACAAGACUCUAUCUCCUAACAACUAGCAUUAUCCUCAAAGCACCAUUGGCCAUAUUUAUGAUGAGAUGAUCAUAUGAGUCAGGUAGACUUUGGAAUAGAAGUUCAACACAUUCUUUCUCUUCUAUGUUAUGCUCCAUAGCUAACAGUUGAUAGAACAAAAAUUUUAGAGUGUUAUUGUGUUUAGUCAUCGAAGUAGAUUAUGACAUUCAAAUAGUGUAGAAUUUUCUUUCCAAGAAGAUUUUGUUAUGCAAUGAUUUGGCUUUAUAUAGUUUUGUUGAAGUACUUGUUGUUGCCUUGAGAAGGUGUAGACAUGAGCCCACAUAUGUCAAUUUGAAUUAGCUCCAAUACCUUCUUUGCUCUCCAAGAAACUUCAUUUGGAAAUGAUUGUCUGUGAUGCUUCCCAAUAGCACAACCUUCACAUAUUUCAUUCUUUUUUUCAAUGGUUUAGGCAACCGUUGUACCACAUCUUCCUUUGAUAAAGCAUUUUCAAGCUAUUGAAGUUCAAGUGCCUAAAUCUUCUAUGUCAUAACCAAACUUCAAUAUUUUCCACUCUAAAAUCCACAUUUUCAGCAUAUUUGAAUACAAAUGGAUGCCCAAAUUUUUUUACAAUUAAAGCAUUAAGGCUUCCCUUUGAACCAACAAUCUUUCUUAACAUGAUUGCUUCUUUUAUAAAUACUACACAUUGUGAGUGAUAAGGCUUCUUUGUUAGUGAACUUUCUUCCAUUGUUGAAGUUUUUUUCUACCUCUUCCUCUUCCUCACCCAGUUCUACCACCUUUGGAUAAAUCACUUCUAUUUUCAUUGCUUGUAGGUUUCCUUUCAACUGAUUUUUUAGAAUGCCUCAACAAUCUCUACUCAUAAGUUUUUAAAGACCUAAAUAGCUCUUGUACAUUGAGUUAUGAGAGAUCUUUUGUUUUUUCAACCAUAGCCACAAUUGGGUCAUAUUUAUUAGGUAGGCUGAUCAAAAUUUUCUCAAUAAUUCUUCUGUCACUAAUUUCUUCACCAUGUGACUUCAUUUGAUUUAUGAACUCCAUAAAUCUAGAAGAGAACUCAUUUAGAGUUUAAUUCUCCCUUAUUUUCAUAUUUUCUAGCUCUCUUCUUAAAUAUUGAAGCCUUACUGAUCGGGUUCUUCUAUAUUCUUGGAACUCUUGUUGGAGGAUGUCCCAUGCUUCUUUACCUUUUGAAGCUAGCUCUCAUAAUUCUUGGGAAAACGCUAUUACCAACACCCUAUUGAAUAAAUAGGAGAGCUUUUGCAUCCUUUUUUUUUUCCAAUCUUUCAAUUGAUCUUUUUUAAUUGGAGUUAGUGUAGCUGCAUUUUCAAGUUCAUCAAAACUAUUUUCAACCAAAUCCUAAACAUCUUGAGACAUAAAUAAUGUUUUCAUUUUUAUGCACCAAAAAUCAUAGUUUUCUCCUUCAAAUAAUGGAAUAGAAAGAGGCAUGAAAACUCAUACUUGUAAGAUUUGUGUUGGCCAUUGAUCUACUCUUCAAAUCCUUGGUCCUUCUACUUCAAUGUUGAGGGUUUCUAGCUACAUAAUCUGCUUGCAAAACAACAACAACACUUGCUCUUCAUUUUAUCUUUCCUUGUUUGCCUUCAAAUUUUGUUGCUUCAAUGACCGCCAAUUCAAUUAUAUUGUGGGUUUGGAUUUGGGUCUUCAAGUGAAAAGAAACCCUAGAAUCCUCCUUCUCCAAAAUAGUGGAUAUUUCUUAAAAUUCCAUACAUAAGAGACAUGUUGCAAUAGAUAAGAGGACUUGAAAAAGAGAGAUAGUAUAUAUAUGUUGGUGAGACACCCUGAAAUCUGGGAACAAAAAACUGGAAACAACAAGUUCUUUGAUACUAGUUCUUUUGAUUGAAAGGUGGGUUCAUGAAACGGGUGACUUUGAUACUAGUUCUUUUGGUUAUAGUUUCGACUUGAAAACAGAGGAUGGAUACUGAAAGAAAAUGGAAGAGUAACAGCCGGAAACAAAGAAGUAAAACAGUCCCCCAUAAAACAAAGUUCUUUUGGUUAUAGUUUUUCACUUCGCAUUUCUCUCUUGGAUUUUUUUAUUUUUUUAUUUUUGUUAUAGUUUGCAAGCUACAAAACCAGAUGUUAAUAAAUUUAACUUGAAUAAAUCUCUCCACAUGGGAGCAUAACAACCACUCAAAACAUAAAAAACAAAAAACUAAUUUUUAUAUAAAUGCAACCCAAAUAUGGAAUAGGCACCUUGUGUUACAUCCGUGCUGCUUGUGCAUGCAGCCGUAUUUGCAAUGAUAGCAAGUCUCUUAAUCUCUUUAGUUUGAGUUUGAUAUUUAGGAUUGGGAUUAUAAUUGAAUAAGAAUGAAGGUAACUAGAAAAGUAAAAUCCAAAUGAUGAGAGUGAGUUUGGAUUUCCACGAGAUUCAAUUUGUCAUUCUUAUUCUUAUUCUCAUUUCUAGAAAACGGUCUAAAUGCAGUAAUAAAAAUGACGUGUGGAAAAGUGGGUUUCAUGCAUAAAUUUAAAAAAAAAAUAAAAGAUAAAAACAAGUAAAAUAAAAACUCCUAAAAAUAAUUCAAAUUUUAUGUAUUUUCAAGUAAAAAAUACUUACGAUCGAUGAUCAAAUUUAGUACCUAUGUCAUAUCUAGAUGGUCAAAUUAAGAUAAUACUUUUGAUCAAAAGAUGCACAAAAUCCUAAUUAUUUUUAGGUAAUUAGUAUAUUAAACUUAAAUUUUACAAAUUCUUUGUAUAAAAACAACCUUUUUUGCUUUAUCUGAUUCUAUUCUAUAUUCCAUCAUUUCAAACAUGGGGAAUGAUAAUAUUGUGAGUUAUAUGAACGUAUUAUUGGUCUUCAGUUUCGGUUCUGAAUUUUAUAGUGACAACUACAUGGGAACACAUAAGCAUAAUCAACACAAGGAUAAUAUUUGAAGGACACUCCGACAUCUAAUAGCAAUCACCAUAUAGAGUACAUGGACCCGGAUGGAAAUCAAUGGACAAUAGCAUUCACCAGCACCUCAAGUUUGCAAGCUGGCUUCCUUCCACAUCAUGUGGAUGCAAUGAGGCAAUCAAAUUUUGUUACAUCACACGGAAAAACAGGAAGGGGAAAACAAAGAAAACAAAAUAAAUGAACACACGCAUGAUAUUAUUUCAGUCGCAAGCAACCUGCAUGCAUCAUAUGAAAAACAGAAGCAGAGGCUUAGUAGAGUGCGCUUAUGGCGUUCUCGUCAUGGCAGCACCCGAAAGUGAUGUACUUCUCCAUGAUCCGGAGGCACUCUGGGCACCUGAUCUUCUCUGGAAUCCUUCCAACUUCGCUCGGGAACUCAAAGCGGCAGCAGGGCUGAGAAUCGCUAUGAAGCUUGCUAUGGAAAUCCAUGCAAGCAAUAUCGAAGCCCUUUGGAGGCACGUCGUCUUUCCAUAAAUUGUACUCGGUAAAGGUGGGCAAAACAGUGCUGCUGUGGCCAUUGACGAACACAAAAGACCCCUUGCUCAGUACAGCCCAUCCUCCUUCUUUGUCAUAGCUGAGAAGUUUCUUGAUUUCCCGCAACAUGGAGUCAUCAUCGUCGCCCCUCCCUAGCUGGAUCUUGGAGAACAACAUGCUUUCCAAUCGGGUCCAGAAGAACCAAACCAUGGUGAGGUCUUGCCAGCAGUAGCUGAGAUUAUCCGUGGUGAUGCUUGUUAUGCAUUUCCGAACUUGCUCUCUCUUGUUGCUCUUUCCCACGUACACCAUCUCUAAGGGGAUCCGUGCAGCCGAUGCAACUGCCCUUGCUGUGGUUGUGAAUUUUCUGAUCCACUCCAUGUCAGUCCCUCCAUACAAGUAAAUGAAUUUUCCUUCUUUGACCUGAUGGAACAAAAACAUUCCCAGGGUAUUUUAAAAAUGUUCACGAUUGGUCUCGUAUUAGGGAAAAGUGAGGUCAUUCAUGCACAUCUAAAUAUGUAUUUAGAUUGGUAAAGGUGAAUUACCCAGUUCAGUACAGUUGGGUCAAUGCCAUCCACCAGCAGCUCAAGCCUCCAAGUCUCUUCCUUCCACAGAGCUUCCUCCCUCAAACUGGUGAACGGAAAGGCGGUACUCCCCCAUAUCCACAUCAUGUGGAUUGCAUUAGGGCUCACCACUCUUCCUUGUGGAUCUAGCACCACAAGGAUGGGCUUGUUCCGGAAGUGCCACACCUCCUUGAUGAACCUGAUGACUGCCUUAUCAAUCAGUGUAGGAGUGUAGACUGAAUACCAUGGCAUUGUGGCCUGCAGAGUCACAAACCGAUCUUGCAUGGCAUCUGUCCACACAACUGAGCGGUCCACAACUGGGAUCCACACAACUUCGUACUGACUCUCCAUCCUAGUCCCGUGGACCCGAGACUCAUUAUAGAUCUGAUCCAGAAUUGAAAGCUCGUCAUGGGAGAUGGAUAGGCCUGAUAUAAGCAGCAAAACAUUCUUCCUCCUCAGCACAUCUAUGUUAACCUGCGGCAUUAAAGUUAGAACUUUAGGUUAGUAGUAACGAAGUGGAAAAAGAAAAUGCACAUUAGAACUUUUAAGUCGUGGUAAUAAUUUUUUUUUAUAUAUGACAGUUUCAUGGAAUAGUGCUACUGCCAAUGCAGUAAUGCAGUGAUAUGUUUGUAGAGUGAACCCUUCUCUUUGUAGAGCCUUCAAGCAGUGGCUGCACGUCAUCCUUGGGAGAAAUCAGUGCCCUGAGAAUCUUCAUGUUGUCAAUGUGAAUACUCUCAAAAAGAUUCAGAAGCAUUUGAAAAGUUUCAGCAUUCCGCUUAUCAUCUGCAUCAAAACAGCAAUCCCUUGUCAGAUUUAAAAUCCAUUUCAUUGGUAUUUACAUUAGCUGUGCAACACUUGCUUCCAUAAAUUUGGAAAGGGUUGGUGGUCUUACCUAUGUAUUGGUAACAAAGAGUAAGUUGCUUCUUCAGAAGAUCCAGUAUGCUAUUGAUCUUGUGAGCCAUGGUGGACAGUUCCCAUGCCUCAUUUGUAGCAGAUAUCCAGUACCUAAAAUCAUUGCAAUUGUCAUAAGUAAAAUGAUUGUUGCCUAACCAGCAUUCCCAAUGGAUUAAGUGGCAUAUCAUAUAAUUCUUCCACAAAAUCAGAGGCAUUUAUUUUUUGUAUUUGGAAAAUUAGCAAAUGGAAAAGAUAUUUAGUUGGCAGUACUUUGCUUUACUAAGGUUGAAAGAUUGAAGCAUGAUAUAUCAGCAAAGAGACUAUAACAUACUCAUGGCCCAUGCUAGUGAAGGUUGUAAUCUGAGUUGCGCAAGCCACAACACUCCUGAUGGUCCAGUAAACAGCAGUGGGGAUAUGUUUCAUUGCUGUUGCUAAUGCUGGUACGUCCUGGCUUAUAUACAUGGACGGGAGCUCCUUGAACUCAAUAAUGCACCUGGUAAUUGCCACCAUAGCCCUGAUGAGAUUGUUAAGAGCAUCAAACCGUGGUUUUAGUUGACCAGAGUGCUCCAAGAUGGUGGGCACUUGCUUAAGGAUUGCCAUUGAUUUCGCAAGUUGGUUGGAUGAGGAGAUCUGAGCAAGGAGCCAGAAUUCACCAUAGUUCACAGCAAAAGCUGAUAGGGUUAGCACCAGCUUUGCUUCCCAUGAAUAGCUUGUUAACAGGUUAAAUAUAGAGAGUGUCAUUGCAUGAGCGUCACCUCCGCCCAAACUCUUGUAUGCUAUCUGAAU